Molecule: ribosomal RNA, 897 nt
Filed under: Triticum aestivum (bread wheat)
Lineage: Eukaryota; Viridiplantae; Streptophyta; Magnoliopsida; Poales; Poaceae
Description: partial small subunit ribosomal RNA
Source: RNAcentral
GGAAGAGCGGGCAAUUACUCAAUCAACGAUGACAAGUUACUAUGCCGUACUUAUUUGCAAGUGUCGAGGGAUCCAUCCAUUGGAGGUGAUCAAAGUAGAGACGCGUAUUGGGGGCGAAUGAAAGAACACUUUGAUGCUCACAACUUGAGUGGAAUUGACCGCUCCGAGAGAUCACUUCGGUCCCGAUGGUCGACAAUCAACUCGGAUUGUCAAAAGUGGGCGGCCGUACAAAAGGCAGUUGACAAGAUUAAUCCAAGUGGCAUAAAUGAGGAUGAUCGAAACUUGUUCAAAGAAGAGACAAGGACAACCAAAAAGGGGAAGAUCAAGAAAGGCAGGGUCUUUACCUUGCCUCAUUGCUAUGAAGUGUUAAAGGAUGAUGAGAAAUGGAAGAAGCGUGAUGGUUUGGAGGAUUUGCAUUUGAGCAGCAAACGGAAGCGAGCAAUUGAGAUGAAUGAUGAUGAGGAGGAGGAGGAUGAUGCAUCAAGUGAUGACGGCAAGAGAAGCCCCACACCCAACUCGGUUUCAUACUCGAAGCCAAAACGACCGAAUGGGUGCAAGAAAGACAAAACCGAAAAGAAGAAGAGGAAAGGAGAUGAUGAGCUCAAAAAUGCUAUGGAAGCUAUUGUGAAGGCAAGGGUCAAAGCCAAUGAGGUGAGGAAAAUGGCAAGGAACCAAGAUGACGUGGCCGAGGAGAGGAGGUUGGCGGCCGAGGAGAGAAGGGUGGCGGCCGAGGAGAGAAAGGUGGCUUUGGAGGAGAGGAAAGUGAGCAACGAGGAGCGAGCUAAAUUGUUGGAAUGGGAGAAGCACUUAUUCUUCUUGGACACAUCUAACCUCAAUGCGGCGCAAAAAGAGUAUGUCAAUCUUGCCCAACAAGAAGUCUUGAUCCAAAAAAGAGCC